UUACUUUUUUAAUUAUUAUUAUUGUAUUAGUCAUUUGCAUGUUUGAUGGUAGUUAGAGCACUUGCUUAGUGACUAAACCUAAUUAUUUGAAACUUGGGUUUUAAUAACUUGCGUCGGAUUUUUGGUGAUUGGUGAAUAUGAACUUCCCUGUUUGAUACAUUUUUACUUGAAUUAUAGCCUAAAUGUGUAUAUAUGUGUGUUGAACGCAGGUAGGGAGUUU
This 220-nucleotide long non-coding RNA is filed under the name Ricinus communis (castor bean). RNAcentral's name for it is "long non-coding RNA (RCOM_LNC001414)". The record is from RNAcentral. Lineage: Eukaryota; Viridiplantae; Streptophyta; Magnoliopsida; Malpighiales; Euphorbiaceae.